Molecule: ribosomal RNA, 389 nt
Filed under: uncultured bacterium
Lineage: Bacteria
Description: bacterial SSU rRNA
Rfam family: Bacterial small subunit ribosomal RNA
Source: RNAcentral
AUUGAACGCUGGCGGAAUGCUUUACACAUGCAAGUCGAACGGCAGCACGGACUUCGGUCUGGUGGCGAGUGGCGAACGGGUGAGUAAUACAUCGGAACGUGCCCGGGACGUGGGGGAUAACUACUCGAAACGAGUGGCUAAUACCGCAUACGAUCCAAGGAUGAAAGCGGGGGGAUCGCAAGACCUCGCGCGUUUGGAGCGGCCGAUGGGCAGAUUAGGUAGUUGGUGAGGUAAAGGCUUACCAAGCCUGCGAUCUGUAGCUGGUCUGAGAGGAUGAUCAGCCACACUGGGACUGAGACACGGCCCAGGACUCCUACGGGAGGCAGCAGUGGGGAAUUUUGGACAAUGGGCGAAAGCCUGAUCCAGCCAUUCCGCGUGCAGGAUGAAGG